UUGAUCCUGGCUCAGAACGAACGCCGGCGGCAUGUUUUAAGCAUGCAAGUCGAACGGUAGAAGGUCUUCGGACUUUUGAGAGUGGCGAACGGGUGAGUAACACGUCGGUAAUCUGUCUUAGGGGUUGGGGAUAACCCAUGGAAACAUGGGGUAAUACCGAAUAGCUCCCUUUCAGCACAAGAGGGAAGGGGGAAAGGCGCUUAGGCGCCGCCUUAGGGUGAGCCUGCGGUCCAUUAGUUAGUUGGUGGGGUAAGAGCCUACCAAGGCAGCGAUGGAUAGCCGGCCUGAGAGGGUGAACGGCCACACUGGGACUGAGACACGGCCCAGACUCCUACGGGAGGCAGCAGCUAAGAAUCUUCCGCAAUGGGCGAAAGCCUGACGGAGCGAUGCCGCGUGAGUGAAGAAGGCGGGAACGUUGUAAAACUCUUUUCUCGGGGAGGAAUAAGGAGGGGAGGUAAUGCCCCUUUGAUGACGCGAACCGAGGAAUAAGCCCCGGCUAAUUACGUGCCAGCAGCCGCGGUAACACGUAAGGGGCGAGCGUUGUCCGGAAUUAUUGGGCGUAAAGGGCGUGUAGGCGGCGAUGUAAGCCUGGUGUGAAAGACUUCAGCUUAACUGGAGAGCCGCGCUGGGAACUAUGUCGCUUGAGUAUAGGAGGGGGAGCUGGAAUUCCAGGUGUAGGGGUGAAAUCUGUAGAUAUCUGGAAGAACACCGGAGGCGAAGGCGAGCUCCUGGCCAUAUACUGACG
RNAcentral lists this ribosomal RNA (745 nucleotides) under uncultured organism. RNAcentral's name for it is "bacterial SSU rRNA". It matches the Rfam family "Bacterial small subunit ribosomal RNA", at positions 13 to 745 of the family's 1533-position model. The record is from RNAcentral.